AGAAACAAAGAACAACAUCCUGGCCUGCGGGAGUGGAUGCUGCGGAUGCUCAUCUCAGGCACCCUGCUGUUUCACAGCUGGCAGCAACAGAUAGACUUAUCAGUCGUCUGAGCCAAGGUUCACCAGAUGGAAUCUCAUCCCACUCAGAGAUCGUCUAUUAUGACUCUAAAGACUGCCUGCAUGACAUCUCUUUUUAAAUUCAAUGCAUAAUUAUAUAAACCAGAAAUUAAUCUGAUUUCUUCAUUAAUGAAAUUCUCAUUGUUUGU
This is a long non-coding RNA of Strigops habroptila (Kakapo), 266 nucleotides long. RefSeq lists it as uncharacterized. The transcript is spliced from 2 exons. The record is from RefSeq and is a predicted model, not a curated record. NCBI's taxonomy places the organism in Eukaryota, Metazoa, Chordata, Aves, Psittaciformes, Psittacidae.